This 440-nucleotide ribosomal RNA is filed under the name uncultured bacterium. Its description in RNAcentral is "partial 16S ribosomal RNA". It matches the Rfam family "Bacterial small subunit ribosomal RNA", at positions 338 to 795 of the family's 1533-position model. The record is from RNAcentral.
CCUACGGGUGGCAGCAGUGGGGAAUAUUGCACAAUGGGCGAAACCCUGAUGCAGCGACGCCGCGUGAGUGAAGAAGUAAUUCGUUAUGUAAAGCUCUAUCAGCAGGGAAGAAAAUGACGGUACCUGAGUAAUAAGCCCCGGCUAACUACGUGCCAGCAGCCGCGGUAAUACGUAGGGGGCAAGCGUUAUCCGGAUUUACUGGGUGGAAAGGGAGCGUAGACGGCAGUGCAAGUCUGGUGGGAAAGGCGGGGGCUCAACCCCCGGACUGCUCUGGAAACUGUACGUCUGGAGUGCAGGAGAGGUAAGUGGAAUUCCGAGUGUAGCGGUGAAAUGCGUAGAUAUUAGGAGGAACACCAGUGGCGAAGGCGGCUUACUGGACUGUAACUGACGUUGAGGCUCGAAAGCGUGGGGAGCAAACAGGAUUAGAUACCCUAGUAGUC